UACGUAGGGUGCAAGCGUUAAUCGGAAUUACUGGGCGUAAACCGUGCGCAGGCGGUUUUGUAAGUUUGUCGUGAAAUCCCCGGGCUCAACCUGGGAAUUGCGAUGAAGACUGCAAGGCUAGAAUCUGGCAGAGGGGGGUAGAAUUCCACGUGUAGCAGUGAAAUGCGUAGAGAUGUGGAGGAACACCGAUGGCGAAGGCAGCCCCCUGGGUCAAGAUUGACGCUCAUGCACGAAAGCGUGGGGAGCAAACAGG
This 253-nucleotide ribosomal RNA is filed under the name uncultured bacterium. RNAcentral's name for it is "partial 16S ribosomal RNA". It matches the Rfam family "Bacterial small subunit ribosomal RNA", at positions 524 to 776 of the family's 1533-position model. The record is from RNAcentral.